RNAcentral lists this ribosomal RNA (1669 nucleotides) under Salmonella enterica. RNAcentral describes it as "partial 23S ribosomal RNA". It matches the Rfam family "Bacterial large subunit ribosomal RNA", at positions 583 to 2236 of the family's 2925-position model. Lineage: Bacteria; Pseudomonadati; Pseudomonadota; Gammaproteobacteria; Enterobacterales; Enterobacteriaceae. The record is from RNAcentral.
CUUUGGGGUGUGACUGCGUACCUUUUGUAUAAUGGGUCAGCGACUUAUAUUCUGUAGCAAGGUUAACCGUAUAGGGGAGCCGGAGGGAAACCGAGUCUUAAUUGGGCGUUAAGUUGCAGGGUAUAGACCCGAAACCCGGUGAUCUAGCCAUGGGCAGGUUGAAGGUUGGGUAACACUAACUGGAGGACCGAACCGACUAAUGUUGAAAAAUUAGCGGAUGACCUGUGGCUGGGGGUGAAAGGCCAAUCAAACCGGGAGAUAGCUGGUUCUCCCCGAAAGCUAUUUAGGUAGCGCCUCGUGAACUCAUCUCCGGGGGUAGAGCACUGUUUCGGCUAGGGGGCCAUCCCGGCUUACCAACCCGAUGCAAACUGCGAAUACCGGAGAAUGUUAUCACGGGAGACACACGGCGGGUGCUAACGUCCGUCGUGAAGAGGGAAACAACCCAGACCGCCAGCUAAGGUCCCAAAGUCAUGGUUAAGUGGGAAACGAUGUGGGAAGGCCCAGACAGCCAGGAUGUUGGCUUAGAAGCAGCCAUCAUUUAAAGAAAGCGUAAUAGCUCACUGGUCGAGUCGGCCUGCGCGGAAGAUGUAACGGGGCUAAACCAUGCACCGAAGCUGCGGCAGCGACGCUGAUGCGUUGUUGGGUAGGGGAGCGUUCUGUAAGCCUGUGAAGGUGGCCUGUGAGGGUUGCUGGAGGUAUCAGAAGUGCGAAUGCUGACAUAAGUAACGAUAAAGCGGGUGAAAAGCCCGCUCGCCGGAAGACCAAGGGUUCCUGUCCAACGUUAAUCGGGGCAGGGUGAGUCGACCCCUAAGGCGAGGCCGAAAGGCGUAGUCGAUGGGAAACGGGUUAAUAUUCCCGUACUUGGUGUUACUGCGAAGGGGGGACGGAGAAGGCUAUGUUGGCCGGGCGACGGUUGUCCCGGUUUAAGCGUGUAGGUGUGUGUUCCAGGUAAAUCCGGUUCACUUUAACACUGAGGCGUGACGACGAGGCACUACGGUGCUGAAGCAACAAAUGCCCUGCUUCCAGGAAAAGCCUCUAAGCAUCAGGUAACAUCAAAUCGUACCCCAAACCGACACAGGUGGUCAGGUAGAGAAUACCAAGGCGCUUGAGAGAACUCGGGUGAAGGAACUAGGCAAAAUGGUGCCGUAACUUCGGGAGAAGGCACGCUGACAUGUAGGUGAAGUGAUUUACUCAUGGAGCUGAAGUCAGUCGAAGAUACCAGCUGGCUGCAACUGUUUAUUAAAAACACAGCACUGUGCAAACACGAAAGUGGACGUAUACGGUGUGACGCCUGCCCGGUGCCGGAAGGUUAAUUGAUGGGGUCAGCGCAAGCGAAGCUCCUGAUCGAAGCCCCGGUAAACGGCGGCCGUAACUAUAACGGUCCUAAGGUAGCGAAAUUCCUUGUCGGGUAAGUUCCGACCUGCACGAAUGGCGUAAUGAUGGCCAGGCUGUCUCCACCCGAGACUCAGUGAAAUUGAACUCGCUGUGAAGAUGCAGUGUACCCGCGGCAAGACGGAAAGACCCCGUGAACCUUUACUAUAGCUUGACACUGAACAUUGAGCCUUGAUGUGUAGGAUAGGUGGGAGGCUUUGAAGUGUGGACGCCAGUCUGCAUGGAGCCGACCUUGAAAUACCACCCUUUAAUGUUUGAUGUUCUAACGUGGACCCGU